RNAcentral lists this ribosomal RNA (457 nucleotides) under uncultured bacterium. RNAcentral's name for it is "bacterial SSU rRNA". It matches the Rfam family "Bacterial small subunit ribosomal RNA", at positions 923 to 1379 of the family's 1533-position model. The record is from RNAcentral.
GCACAAGCGGUGGAGCAUGUGGUUUAAUUCGACGCAACGCGCAGAACCUUACCAGCCCUUGACAUGUCCGGGACCGGUCGCAGAGAUGUGACCUUCUCUUCGGAGCCCGGAACACAGGUGCUGCAUGGCUGUCGUCAGCUCGUGUCGUGAGAUGUUGGGUUAAGUCCCGCAACGAGCGCAACCCCCGUCCUUAGUUGCUACCAUUUAGUUGAGCACUCUAAGGAGACUGCCGGUGAUAAGCCGCGAGGAAGGUGGGGAUGACGUCAAGUCCUCAUGGCCCUUACGGGCUGGGCUACACACGUGCUACAAUGGCGGUGACAAUGGGAUGCUAAGGGGCGACCCUUCGCAAAUCUCAAAAAGCCGUCUCAGUUCGGAUUGGGCUCUGCAACUCGAGCCCAUGAAGUUGGAAUCGCUAGUAAUCGUGGAUCAGCACGCCACGGUGAAUACGUUCCCGGGC